Molecule: ribosomal RNA, 401 nt
Filed under: uncultured bacterium
Lineage: Bacteria
Description: bacterial SSU rRNA
Rfam family: Bacterial small subunit ribosomal RNA
Source: RNAcentral
UGGGGAAUAUUGGACAAUGGGCGCAAGCCUGAUCCAGCAAUGCCGCGUGAGUGAUGAAGGCCUUAGGGUUGUAAAGCUCUUUUACCCGGGAAGAUAAUGACUGUACCGGGAGAAUAAGCCACGGCUAACUCCGUGCCAGCAGCCGCGGUAAUACGGAGGGGGCUAGCGUUGUUCGGAAUUACUGGGCGUAAAGCGUACGUAGGCGGUUUUGUAAGUUAGAGGUGAAAGCCCGGAGCUCAACUUCGGAAUUGCCUUUAAGACUGCAUCACUUGAACGUCGGAGAGGUGAGUGGAAUUCCGAGUGUAGAGGUGAAAUUCGUAGAUAUUCGGAAGAACACCAGUGGCGAAGGCGGCUCACUGGACGACUGUUGACGCUGAGGUACGAAAGCGUGGGGAGCAAAC